RNAcentral lists this long non-coding RNA (1095 nucleotides) under Coffea arabica (coffee). RNAcentral describes it as "long non-coding RNA (CARA_LNC006370)". Lineage: Eukaryota; Viridiplantae; Streptophyta; Magnoliopsida; Gentianales; Rubiaceae. The record is from RNAcentral.
UCAAAUUGGUUCAAGAAUCAUCUUAAUCCGAUCACUGUAGCUCAAGUUAUAGCCGAAAUACGAAAAUGUGUCAAAACUGUCAAAAUACACAAAAUCCAAGUAAAAAGUGAUAAAAACCUCAUUUAACCACUUAAAAACAUUUUUCACCAAUUAUAGCCAAAAUGAAUCAUUUUCUUCCAAUAAUAUACCCAAAGUGACUAAAAAUAAUAUAAAAUAUCAUACAAUUAUUACGUAAAUUAGUCACUUAUCAUGUAUUAAACAACAAUAUGCAAUUUUACAGCCAAAAUUCAUGGAGGAAAACUGGAAAAGUUCUUCCUCUCUCUCUUGGCCAUCUCAACAAAAUUUCCAGCAAGGUCCUUCAAUAUUUUCAGCCAAGUUCACCAACUUUUCACUAGUUUCAAAGAUAAAACAUACUAUAUAUAUAAGGCAAGAGAUAAAAUAUAUAUCAUGCAUUUCUAGUAAAAUUUCUUCCAAGAUUUUUAAUGAAUAGUUGUGAAACUCAAGCUCUCUUCCUCUCGGUCAACACAGAGAAUUUUCCAGCAGGUUAUCAGUUUUUAAGCAAAGUUUUCCUUCAGAUUUUACGCUGAUCCUUCUUUGUUUCACGUUAAACACUGCAUGCAUGACAAGGUAGAAGAGCUAGGGUGUGUGUGUGUUGUAUACAAAUUCAACUUAACAAAUUUUGAGAGAAGAACAACAUGCAGUAAUUUCAGCAGAAUAUUUCCAGCUUUGAGGCAUUUUUCCUUGGUUAAAUUUCUCUUUUCUUGAGGGUAGUUCAAGUUAAGACAGUAUAGAACUAAGGUAGAGAGGAAAUAAGGGAAAUUUAUCAGGUUUUACCUCUUGUUUCCUGACAAUGAAAGCUGGGAAAAUUGCAGACUGUUUCACCUUUCUUCUCUCGGUUUCUCAAAGGCAAAAUGCUCCAAUUUUCUCCCCUCAAUGCAGCUGGUUUGGGCACAAAGAAGCUGCAAUCGCUUCCUCACUCUCAAUUCUCUCUCUUGUGUUGAAUUGAUAAGAGGAAAAUGGACUAACUCUCUCACUCACUCUCUCGGUUGCAGGCUAGAAUAAAAAAGAACUAGAAAUGUGUUUGCUCUCUCGGUC